Molecule: ribosomal RNA, 486 nt
Filed under: uncultured bacterium
Lineage: Bacteria
Description: partial 16S ribosomal RNA
Rfam family: Bacterial small subunit ribosomal RNA
Source: RNAcentral
AUUGAACGCUGGCGGCAUGCCUUACACAUGCAAGUCGAACGGCAGCACGGGUGCUUGCACCUGGUGGCGAGUGGCGAACGGGUGAGUAAUACAUCGGAACAUGUCCUGUAGUGGGGGAUAGCCCGGCGAAAGCCGGAUUAAUACCGCAUACGAUCUACGGAUGAAAGCGGGGGACCUUCGGGCCUCGCGCGAUAGGGUUGGCCGAUGGCUGAUUAGCUAGUUGGGGGGGGAAAGGCCUACCAAGGCGACUAUCAGUAGCUGGUCUGAGAGGGCGACCAGCCACACUGGGACUGGGACACGGCCCAGACUCCUACGGGAGGCAGCAGUGGGGAAUGUUGGACAAAGGGCGAAAGCCUGAUACAGCAAUGCCGCGUGUGUGAAGAAGGCCUUCGGGUUGUAAAGCACUUUUGUCCGGAAAGAAAUCCUUGGCCCUAAUACGGUCGGGGGAUGACGGUACCGGAAGAAUAAGCACCGGCUAACUACGUG